This 203-nucleotide small RNA is filed under the name Cryptococcus neoformans H99. RNAcentral's name for it is "Cryptococcus neoformans var. grubii H99 hypothetical RNA". Lineage: Eukaryota; Fungi; Basidiomycota; Tremellomycetes; Tremellales; Cryptococcaceae. The record is from RNAcentral.
AGUUGUGGCACUUCAUCACGUUUUGCCCCAAUCCAAGUCCAAUUCUGAGGCAACCCGACGCACAUGGCACAUGGCGGCAGAGCCGAUUUCUUUGACACGACGGGAUUGCAAUGAGUUGGCGAAGGUAGUCAGAGAGGGUAGCAGCGCUUAUCUGUUGAAAUUUACCGUUUAUUCAGGGAGUAGAUAGGUACAUAGGGUAUAAG